This 497-nucleotide ribosomal RNA is filed under the name uncultured bacterium. RNAcentral describes it as "partial 16S ribosomal RNA". It matches the Rfam family "Bacterial small subunit ribosomal RNA", at positions 28 to 507 of the family's 1533-position model. The record is from RNAcentral.
GACGAACGCUGGCGGCGUGCCUAAUACAUGCAAGUUGAGCGCUGAAGGUUGGUACUUGUACCAACUGGAUGAGCAGCGAACGGGUGAGUAACGCGUGGGGAAUCUGCCUUUGAGCGGGGGACAACAUUUGGAAACGAAUGCUAAUACCGCAUAAAAACUUUAAACACAAGUUUUAAGUUUGAAAGAUGCAAUUGCAUCACUCAAAGAUGAUCCCGCGUUGUAUUAGCUAGUUGGUGAGGUAAAGGCUCACCAAGGCGAUGAUACAUAGCCGACCUGAGAGGGUGAUCGGCCACAUUGGGACUGAGACACGGCCCAAACUCCUACGGGAGGAAGCAGUAGGGAAUCUUCGGCAAUGGACGAAAGUCUGACCGAGCAACGCCGCGUGAGUGAAGAAGGUUGUCGGAUCGUAAAACUCUGUUGGUAAAGAAGAACGUUGGUGAGAGUGGAAAGCUCAUCAAGUGACGGUAACUACCCAGAAAGGGACGGCUAACUACGUG